This 46-nucleotide non-coding RNA is filed under the name Schistosoma margrebowiei. Lineage: Eukaryota; Metazoa; Platyhelminthes; Trematoda; Strigeidida; Schistosomatidae. The record is from RNAcentral.
GCGCUGCUGGGGAGUCCCAUACCAGGACGAAACGGCCGUCCAGUGC